Molecule: ribosomal RNA, 437 nt
Filed under: Chromobacterium sp. A62-52
Lineage: Bacteria; Pseudomonadati; Pseudomonadota; Betaproteobacteria; Neisseriales; Chromobacteriaceae
Description: bacterial SSU rRNA
Rfam family: Bacterial small subunit ribosomal RNA
Source: RNAcentral
AACGGUAACAGGGUGCUUGCACCGCUGACGAGUGGCGAACGGGUGAGUAACGCAUCGGAAUGUACCGUGUAAUGGGGGAUAGCUCGGCGAAAGCCGGAUUAAUACCGCAUACGCCCUGAGGGGGAAAGUGGGGGACCGUAAGGCCUCACGUUAUACGAGCAGCCGAUGUCUGAUUAGCUAGUUGGUGAGGUAAGAGCUCACCAAGGCGACGAUCAGUAGCGGGUCUGAGAGGAUGAUCCGCCACACUGGGACUGAGACACGGCCCAGACUCCUACGGGAGGCAGCAGUGGGGAAUUUUGGACAAUGGGCGCAAGCCUGAUCCAGCCAUGCCGCGUGUCUGAAGAAGGCCUUCGGGUUGUAAAGGACUUUUGUUCGGGAGGAAAUCCCGCUGGUUAAUACCUGGCGGGGAUGACAGUACCGGAAGAAUAACACCGGCU